This 814-nucleotide long non-coding RNA is filed under the name Zostera marina. Its description in RNAcentral is "long non-coding RNA (ZMAR_LNC004599)". The record is from RNAcentral. Lineage: Eukaryota; Viridiplantae; Streptophyta; Magnoliopsida; Alismatales; Zosteraceae.
AUUCUUAUUUCUUAUUCCCCCUUUCUUAAGAGUUAGCUAGGGUUUGUGAUUCCACUACCUUGCUCUUUUCUUCUAUUCUAUUUGGAACCCCGCCGGACUCUCCAAAUAUUCCUAACUUGUUCUUCCUCCAUUUCCAUUUCUUCAAUCGUCUACAUUUGGAUAUCGCCCCUCCCUGCAUUAUACGACAUAGUGUCGAUUGCAAUCUUAAUCUCGAUCUCCUCUGUUCGUUUCCGACAGUAACCGCAUCCGGACUUCGGUUAGGUAAAUCUUUGGUAUCAUCUAUCCUUUUCUGUCUUAGCUCAGAAUUAAUCGCUCUUUUGUGACUUAAAUAAUUACUCUACUACCUGGUUGCGUCGAAAUCUGUAAUCAUUGAGAGUCUAAAGACCCAAUUUUCAUUAAACGAUUUUAUGCCGUUUGUUUAAUUCUGUAGAUGUAACUUUAGUUUUUUAUAAUCUUGGAUGACCAAAAUCGUGCUUCAAUUUUUGCUACUCAACAUGUGUAUUCUUUUCCCCUCUCUAGAAUGUGCUUCACAGGCAAUAUCCCAAGCCUCCCAUCGGGAUAAAUCUGACCCCUUCCCCGAUUCCCACCUACAUAUAUGGGAUAUUUUAAGAAAUGAACAUCUUUCUUCACAGCGGGGUCCGGAGAAAGGAUAGGGAAGACAAUUUCACUAAAAUAAAAUAAAAUAUUACAGGGUUUUUUUUUAAUAUUACAGGGUUUUUUUAACAAAAAUAAAAUAAAAUAUUAUUUUUGGGUUUUUUUAUAAAUGUUAUUCGAAUCGAAUUCGGAUAUCCGAAUUCGGAUAUUUUUAAUCGAA